This 21-nucleotide non-coding RNA is filed under the name Arabidopsis thaliana (thale cress). The record is from RNAcentral. Lineage: Eukaryota; Viridiplantae; Streptophyta; Magnoliopsida; Brassicales; Brassicaceae.
UUACACUGGCUGAAAUUAGGA